Long non-coding RNA from Passer domesticus (house sparrow), 702 nucleotides. RefSeq lists it as uncharacterized. Lineage: Eukaryota; Metazoa; Chordata; Aves; Passeriformes; Passeridae. The record is from RefSeq and is a predicted model, not a curated record. The transcript is spliced from 2 exons.
UGGCUAUGUGGCUGGGACUGUGCAGCCAAAAUCAGUGCAACUGUGGCAGCGCCAUGCAGCUGCGGCUGUCUCAGCGUGACUCACAGUGGACUUUGCUUAGCUGCUUUUAGCCAGCUGUGCUGCAGACAGAAGGACAAAAGGAGCGGCAGUAGUUUUUUUCCUUUCUUCUAGUGCCUUGCGUGAAAGAAAGGUGCACGGGUGGUGCCAGCAGCCAGCGCAGUUUGUGCAGUGCCAGUGAUCAGCAGCAACAGACACAGUGAUUCCUCAAUUGCAGAGCCUGAACAAAAUCAGCCUUUAAACAUUUUCAAGACUCUAUACUGUUUUAAUUGAUAAAGCUUGAGAACAAAUGAACCUACGAACACUAAUUUUCUCCCGAGUCAGGAAAAGGAAAAGGUGAAGACACAUGGAGAAAACAACAUGGACCCUGAGGUGAUUUGCUGUGACAUUGAAGCCACGAGAGGCCUGUUUCUUGUGGAAAAGUCUUUAUAGCAUGAGAAGAGAGACUCCUCUCCCUAAGUAGACUGAAGAAAGACUAUUCUAGAAGUGACAAAUUGACUGAAAGUCCCAAGUUUUGUCUUCUUACGUUGUCAGUGGGAAAGAAAAGAAGGUGGGGUGAGAGGAAAAGUGUUCUGAAGGUUUUAUUCUGAUUUUUAUUAUUUUUUGUCUUAAUUCUGUUAAUAAAGUUUUCUUUAUACUCUUUAA